GUGAAUCAUCGAAUCUUUGAACGCAAAUUGCGCUCUCUGGUAUUCCGGAGAGUAUGCCUGUUUGAGGGUCAGUUUAAAUAAAAAUCGGUGUGGUUUCGGCCUUUCUUGGUGACGCAGCUGGUUGGGGUUGUCUUACCUGCUGUUAAGUGACCGAAAAUUUUGCAUAAUUUUUGCGAACGUAUUUAGAUGAGUUUGCGUACGUUUGCGAUA
This 210-nucleotide unclassified non-coding RNA is filed under the name Glomeraceae sp. RNAcentral describes it as "partial contains 5.8S ribosomal RNA and internal transcribed spacer 2". The stretch from base 1 to 71 matches the Rfam family "5.8S ribosomal RNA", at positions 84 to 154 of the family's 154-position model. Lineage: Eukaryota; Fungi; Glomeromycota; Glomeromycetes; Glomerales; Glomeraceae. The record is from RNAcentral.